AAUGUAAAAUUUGAAUUUUAUUGAAUGUUAGUAAUGUAAUUUCAAAUUUUUGAAGUGAAAAAAGAGUGUAAAAUGUGUUAUAGUGUGAAAUUGCUUGUUGAAAAUUUUGAUUUUUUGAUCUUCAAAGCGGAAUAUCUCGAAAACUAGGCGUCUGCGGUACCUAAACCCUGUAUAUUUUUUUAAUCGGGAGGACGUGCUCUUCCUAACGGUACCCUCAGAUCGCGGCGCCAUAGUAAUCGAAAUUGUGCCGCGACCCUGUUAGUCAGGAUGUAUAAUUUUGGUAUUCUGGCUGAUACAGUCUCAAAAAUGUUCACCAAAUAGUGGUGAAAAGAAAAGCAAGCUAUCAGCUAUUAUAUUUAGAUUGCGCCUACGAGUGUAGCUAAAACAUAAGUACUUUGUUAUCCAUUAUUGCAAAAUUACAAAUAUUAAUACAUUGGGGCUAAUCAUCGAAUCCGCACGCAUUCGAUUUCGAUACGAUAAAGAUUUUCGGUCGAAAAUAUUCAUCCAAUCAUUGAUUCCCUCGAUAAACUGCUUUACCACUAGGUGAGAACGUAAAACAGUUUUAUGGACCUUUGUCGACAAAUUUGAUAGUGUCUGUGUUUUUUACUUUGUUCAAAAAAAUUAAAACCCCAAAAAAAUAUUUAAUUCGCCUGAGGCUCUUUGAGAAAAUUCUUUCGCUAUUUCGAGGAGGCAACUUUAGAUCGUUUUUAAACAUCUUUAAUUUAUUUUAGUUACUCUGUUUUUGUCUCUUGUUUCUAAAAUUAAAUGGGUAUUUUAGAAAAAAAGGAAUACGGGAGUUCUACGCGAAAAAAAUUUUGACACUCCGGUUUUGGCUCGACCAGGGUGAUUUUUUUGAAGCGCGACCGAAGACCGUCAGUGCAGAAAUGAGUUCUACGCGAAAAAAAACUUCGGACAUAAUUUAGUCCGUCAUCAGUAAUUGUUUACAUAAAAACUUCUAAAUGGUUUAUUUCUUUUACAUUUCCGCACCUCAUUCACCAACGGAUAGAUUUUGACCAAAAUUUUCGAUUUUGCGGAUUCAAUGAUUUCGUAGUUAGCGACAUCUAUUAGCCGCGGAAUGUAUUGUUCGGGUCGGUAAGUAAAAUUAAAAUUUUUUAUCGACGUAAAAUUUUUCGAUCGAAUCGAACCAUUUUUCGAUCCAAACGGAUUCAAUGAUUAAGCCCAUUAUAUCUCUUCAUCCUCUAUUUUUUUUAAUUAUAAUAUAUAUUAUAUUAGGCCAAUUGCAUCAUCCAUUAUUGUGCUCUGGGUUUUUCUGUGACCUGGUUUAAAGCACAUAACAAAUGAGAGACAGGGGCCCUAUUCUGUAACUCGAUUCGAAAAUGAAUUUUCUCGAAUUCGAAUGCUUUGAAUUGAAUUCGCUUUCGAAUAGUGAAUCCGAAUUAAGAAAAUUUGCAACUAUGUAAUUCGAAUUUAAUUGUCAAAUGUAUUCGAGUUUCGUAUAAAAUAUUCGUUAGUUUAUGAGUUGUAGAAUAAAGACGUUUUAAAAAAUGGACUCGGUUAGCAAAAGUCAGCACACUAAACAAAGCCAAUUUGAAAUAAUGGUGGAGUUUAUGGAAUCACAUCCAAACUUGGCCAAAGGCUACAUAAAAUGUGCGGACGCUAAACAAACAAGUAAGCAUUUGUGGGAGCGGUUGAGUGAAAAAUUAAAUGGAGAUGGACCACCCAUACGGGACAUGCCUUCGUGGAAAAAGGUUUGGGCGGAUUACAAAACCCACAUUAAGGCUAAAGCUCGCAAAAAUAAGUUGCAUAUGUCGGGGAGUUUAUUCCUUCAAUUCAGUUGAAUUAAGGGCAUUUGACUUACUGCAGAUAAAUCAAGCGGUGGAUGGGAUAGUAGAUGCUCAAAAGUUCGGUGCGGGAACAAGUGAAGUCACACAAAGCUACCAAUGUGAAACCACGGAUCCAAGCACUCAGAACGACAUAAGUGAUUUGCAAAAUUUUGAAGAACUACCACCUUUAACACCACCUUCUCGCCCCCAAACGUCACCCAAAUGUAGCACUGUGCGGUCACGUACCGGUAGUAAAAACAAUCUUUUGAAAAUGCAAGUAGACGGGCAAAUAAAGUUUCACAAAGAUUGUACCAAGAUUUAAAAAGACGUGAAUUACAAUUUAAAAUCUUUAGAUAAGUCUAAUAAGAAACUUCUUGAACAAAAUGAAGAAAAAAUAGAACUAGAAAGACAAAAACUAAAGUUUGCAAAGUUAAAGCAUGAGUACAAAAUUAAAAGCGAGAGGAAGAGGAACAAUAUAAGAAUUGCAAAACUUAAAAUCAAGGAACAAAUGUUAAAUGUUAAUACCCGUUAAUUUUAUUUAUUGAAAUUAAUGAAUAAUUGAAAGAAAUGAAAUAAAUGGAUUGCUUUUUAGUUACUUUAUUUAAAUUACGAGCGCAAGCUUAUUUUAAUUCGGUCUCGUAUUGUUUGCGCAAUUUGUGAAAACCCGUUUUGAACUACGUUGGGUAAAGCCAAAUUAGAUAGUUCUUGAUUCAUUUCAAUUACUGUUGGUGCUUCAACGUUGUAUAUGAGGCAAAUGUUAUGCAGGGCACAACAAACGUUCAAAAUUUUAACAACUUUUUUUGGUGCAUAGUGAAGUUCUCUUCCAGCAAGCAGGCAUCGAAAACGAUUUUUUAAAAUUCCAAAUACACGCUCGAU
Long non-coding RNA from Zeugodacus cucurbitae (melon fly), 2660 nucleotides. RefSeq lists it as uncharacterized. Lineage: Eukaryota; Metazoa; Arthropoda; Insecta; Diptera; Tephritidae. The record is from RefSeq and is a predicted model, not a curated record. The transcript has 3 exons.